Molecule: ribosomal RNA, 497 nt
Filed under: uncultured bacterium
Lineage: Bacteria
Description: partial 16S ribosomal RNA
Rfam family: Bacterial small subunit ribosomal RNA
Source: RNAcentral
GAUGAACGCUGGCGGCGUGCCUAAUACAUGCAAGUCGAGCGAACGGACGAGAAGCUUGCUUCUCUGAUGUUAGCGGCGGACGGGUGAGUAACACGUGGAUAACCUACCUAUAAGACUGGGAUAACUUCGGGAAACCGGAGCUAAUACCGGAUGAUAUUUUGAACCGCAUGGUUCAAAAGUGAAAGACGGUCUUGCUGUCACUUAUAGAUGGAUCCGCGCUGCAUUAGCUAGUUGGUAAGGUAACGGCUUACCAAGGCAACGAUGCAUAGCCGACCUGAGAGGGUGAUCGGCCACACUGGAACUGAGACACGGUCCAGACUCCUACGGGAGGCAGCAGUAGGGAAUCUUCCGCAAUGGGCGAAAGCCUGACGGUGCAACGCCGUGUGAGUGAUGAAGGUCUUCGGAUCGUAAAACUCUGUUAUUAGGGAAGAACAUAUGUGUAAGUAACUGUGCACAUCUUGACGGUACCUAAUCAGAAAGCCACGGCUAACUACGUG